GCCACUGCCGAUAUGGUUGGUUGGAGAAUGUUCUUGUUUUGCGGAGAUGAGGGCUGAAGUAGGUUUCAAGUUUUGUGAUGUCUGCCCCCUAUUUUUGGAUGGUUUGACAGAGGGGAAGUGUGUGCAUGUGCAUAUUCAGAGAGGGGGAAGGGUGAAGUGGAUGUGAAGAGGCAUUAAUGGUCAUUGAAUCUAGAUGUUCAUAGUAUGGUUCUUUUUGGUAGAUUUGAAAUUCUUAAAAAUGAGGGAAGAAAACCCAAUAGUAAUAAGUGGUAAAUUGGGGCUCAGUUUCCGUGGCCCCUCCUAUCUCCCAGACUUCCCAAGGAGGAGUCCCUGAGAUGGCAGCCUUUAUAUUUUCCAUGAGCACAUAGAACUGGAUUGAGAAUCUACCCUGAGUCCCCCAGACACGCACACUUCUUCCUUCAAACUCUUUUUCCAGAACUGAACUUGCUCAUUUAUGAUGUUCUUCUUAGGUCCAAGCCCAACUCUGCCUUCUUAAUGAAAUUUCUUUAUUGGUACUGAGUGCCUUGGAAACGAGAAGUGCAUUUCAGGCUGUUACCGAAGGUCUUUUCAUCUCUCCCCAAUCUCUGUUGCUUGUCAGGAGAUAUUUCCACUCUCUCCUUGGCCAGGGAGUUCAGGAAUUAAGAAGGAGAAUGAAGCCUGCCUCCCCUAUGGGAGCCGCCAUCAAGAAAUGACUCUGCCCUCACAGUGGUGGCCUUUCCUGAUCAACAGCAAAUCUGUGUCCUUUGGCUUUUGAUUUGCCCUGUGUUCUCCCAGCUCAACUGACCUUUGAGGCAGGGCCAGUUCCCUUUACACUGAAGUGAUUGAUGGCUGCUGUGCGUAUCUUCACUCACUGCCUCCCAUAGCGCUCCUUUCUCCCCUGCCUACCUCCUCUGUCCACAGGCCUGGUAUUCAGUUCCCAUAAUUUGUUCGCAGAACUUUGCAUCUUUAUCUCUCAGGUUCAAAUGUGAAUGGACCUGAGGAAGCUCAGCAUUGCCAAAAGGCUGAAGGGCAUGCCUAACGAAUGUGAGAAACUGUGAGAACCAGGCAGAGGAGCCAGAGGAGAGGUGCGCACCUGAGCUGGAUGAGCUGGAUGAAGGAGUGGCCAGGUGACUUCAUUAACCUCUCCAGGUGCAUAAUAAUUCCUCCCCGAGGGCAGGUGGUGGAGCAUGCUAGAUAACAGAAUAGAACCCAGAAUCCCAGCUCUGCUGCACGCUAGCUGUGUGACUGCAGGCCAGUUACUUAACUUCUCUCUGCCUUAGUUUCCUCAUCUGUAGAGGGUUGUUGUGAGGGUUAAAUAAAUUGAUAAUAGAUAGAAAGUGCUUAAAACAAGACUUGGCACAUCAUCAGCACUCUGUUGAUGGCAGCCACCAUCAUUAUUACAAAGAAUUUUCAUAUCCUCAUUUGGCCAUCAUCCCAGUAAUCAAUUCUAGGUAAUCAACAGCAUUUAUUUUGUGAGUAAAGGAAACUAAUGGCGACUUAACUAAAAUCAAGAUGGAACUAGUAUUUAAGCCCAGGUCUUCCUACCUUAAGUCCCAGUAGGUCUCAUCCUGGUCACCAGACACUGCAGAGGAGGAAAAAAUAAUUUUCCCUCUACCCUUUAUGGUGAGUGUCUGGCUGAGACCCCUUUUUCUCCAGGGCACCUGGUAAAUGGAUAAGCUUAUCUAGGCUGAAAGUCUCCACUGUGGCCACUGUAAUUCAAUCUUGUCUUUGAUAAGGUUAACCUGCUUGUUCAGACUUAAAACAAAAUUUUAUUCACCUGAAGCCUCACCCUGGCUCCGGUCCAACUUAAGUCAGAGCCAGUCCGGCUUUUAAGUCAGACCCGGUUCUACUCCUGGCCCUUUUGGAUCCACUCUAGAAGAAGAAACGCUCAGUCUUAAAGCUCAUAAUGGCAAAAGCCACAGAGCUGGGAUCCAGGAUGCUAGAGACGUGCCCAGCAACUCUGGAGGCAGCGAGAAACCAGCGAGUGCAAGGCCCUCAGCAGGUGAUGGUGGGCGAGCUUCCCAGGCCUGCUGGAACAAAAUACCACAAACUGGGCGGCUUCAGGCCCCAGAAAUGUAUCCAUCCGCAGUUCUGGAGGCUGGACGUCUGACAUGAAGGCGCUGACAGGGACCUACAGGGAUCGUAUACUGAAUGAUUAAAAGUUGUUAAAACCCCAGAUGAUUGAACCUACUGAUUAAGUAACUGCAUGGAUGUCCAAGUCAAUUAACAGGGCUCUGAUGGUCGCCAAGUGUUAUAACCCUGGACUGGAAAGGCAAGGGAUUUAUUCAAGCUGGAGUGCUUCUCAUGCUUCUUCUACCAGAGCUUGAUCUGAGCCAAGUCUUGAUUAACCAUGACCUCAUCUUCAUCAUUGACAUCGUGGGACUGCAACCUUCUGACCACCUCCAUCCAUGGCCAUUUGAGGACCAUCAUAGAUGGCACAGGAUGUAUUACAGUAUGAACUCUCUGGAGUAUUCAGAAAACUAUAAAUGACUACAAAGCCUUUUCUUUCAAUCCAAGACUUUAAAAUUGCUGCAAAAUAAGAUGUCAAGUAGAGGGAUUGAGAUGAGUUCAGCUUUCUGUCUGAUGAUACGGUUGCUCAAUUUGGUAAGGCCAAGUCUAGAAAUGGUAGUAAGGGUAAUGUCUCAAUCACUCUACUCAGACCCCAACUUGGAGUUAAUGAGUAUCUCUGGGGUUGAAGGUCAGAAUCAUUACUUUAUUACUGAUGUAUUUGAGCUUAUCUCAAGAGAAUGAGCAGACUGGUGGCAGGCACUAGAAUCUUGAACCCCAUCCAAGUCUACACUGAUCUUAAAAGUUCCAGUUCCAAAGUUACCAGUUCUCUAAUGGGAGAGACAAUCCUAAAACCCAGUCCCAGUAGUCUGUUAGAAUUAUAGGGAGUCAUAUAGCUCUUCAAAGCCAUGUGUCGGUAACUGGCUCAACUAGUGGUGAGCUUCCCAUCCCUGGAGAUAUUCAAGCAGAGGCAGGAAGGUCAUCUGUCAAGUAGGCCAUGGAUCAGAUUCUUGAAGAGGCAGAGGAGGGAAUCCAUGAAUUCUCUUGUAACUCUGAAAGUCCGCAUCUAAUAAAGGUGGACACAGACAAUCCAGUAGGAAAAAAUUCACUGUGAAUUAUGCCUAAUAUAUAUAUCUGCUAACACCUUUCUUCAGAUCAUGCUCUAGUGUCUAAGUUUACUUUCUAAUUCACAAAUCCAAGUGCACCACUUCAUUGCUAAAGUCAACAACCAUCCCCUUUUAUAGUUCUCUGUGGUCCACCCUGACUACAAAACCUUUGCAAUCAAACCUUCCUCUUUCCCUUGGACCCCAUCCCUUACCAUUCCCCUUAUCUCAGAGCAUGACAUAAACUUGGAUGCCACCUAUAUCAGCUAGCUAUUGCAGUAAAACAAAUGACCCCCAAACAUAGUGGCUUACAACAAUAAACAUUUCAGAAUCCAGAAGUGGUUAGCUGUGUGGCUCUGGCUUGAGGUCUCUGGGGAGGUUACAGGAAAGAUGUCAGGCAGGUCUCAGCUAUCUGAACACUUGGCUGGGCUGGGGAAUCUGCUUCCAAGAUGGCGCUCUCACAUGUUUCCGGUUAUUGUCUUCAAGUUCUUCUUCAGGGGGGCUUCUCCAUGGGCUGCUUGAGCAUCAUUACAACAUGUGGACUGACUUCCCCCAGAGUGUGAAAUCCAAGAGGCACCAAGACAGAAGCCAUGAUAUUUUUGAUAGCCUAGCCUUGGAAACACACACAAUCAUUUU
Molecule: long non-coding RNA, 3725 nt
Filed under: Equus caballus (horse)
Lineage: Eukaryota; Metazoa; Chordata; Mammalia; Perissodactyla; Equidae
Description: lncRNA (ENSECAG00000054783.1)
Source: RNAcentral